CCUGGCUCACGUUGAACGCUAGCUACAGGCUUAACACAUGCAAGUCGAGGGGCAGCAUGGUCUUAGCUUGCUAAGGCCGAUGGCGACCGGCGCACGGGUGAGUAACACGUAUCCAACCUGCCGUCUACUCUUGGACAGCCUUCUGAAAGGAAGAUUAAUACAAGAUGGCAUCAUGAGUCCGCAUGUUCACAUGAUUAAAGGUAUUCCGGUAGACGAUGGGGAUGCGUUCCAUUAGAUAGUAGGCGGGGUAACGGCCCACCUAGUCUUCGAUGGAUAGGGGUUCUGAGAGGAAGGUCCCCCACAUUGGAACUGAGACACGGUCCAAACUCCUACGGGAGGCAGCAGUGAGGAAUAUUGGUCAAUGGGCGAGAGCCUGAACCAGCCAAGUAGCGUGAAGGAUGACUGCCCUAUGGGUUGUAAACUUCUUUUAUAAAGGAAUAAAGUCGGGUAUGGAUACCCGUUUGCAUGUACUUUAUGAAUAAGGAUCGGCUAACUCCGUGCCAGCAGCCGCGGUAAUACGGAGGAUCCGAGCGUUAUCCGGAUUUAUUGGGGUUUAAAGGGAGCGUAGAUGGAUGUUUAAGUCAGUUGUGAAAGUUUGCGGCUCAACCGUAAAAUUGCAGUUGAUACUGGAUAUCUUGAGUGCAGUUGAGGCAGGCGGAAUUCGUGGUGUAGCGGUGAAAUGCUUAGAUAUCACGAAGAACUCCGAUUGCGAAGGCAGCCUGCUAAGCUGCAACUGACAUUGAGGCUCGAAAGUGUGGGUAUCAAACAGGAUUAGAUACCCUGGUAGUCCACACGGUAAACGAUGAAUACUCGCUGUUUGCGAUAUACUGCAAGCGGCCAAGCGAAAGCGUUAAGUAUUCCACCUGGGGAGUACGCCGGCAACGGUGAAACUCAAAGGAAUUGACGGGGGCCCGCACAAGCGGAGGAACAUGUGGUUUAAUUCGAUGAUACGCGAGGAACCUUACCCGGGCUUAAAUUGCAGAUGAAUUACGGUGAAAGCCGUAAGCCGCAAGGCAUCUGUGAAGGUGCUGCAUGGUUGUCGUCAGCUCGUGCCGUGAGGUGUCGGCUUAAGUGCCAUAACGAGCGCAACCCUUGUUGUCAGUUACUAACAGGUUCCGCUGAGGACUCUGACAAGACUGCCAUCGUAAGAUGUGAGGAAGGUGGGGAUGACGUCAAAUCAGCACGGCCCUUACGUCCGGGGCUACACACGUGUUACAAUGGGGGGUACAGAGGGCCGCUACCACGCGAGUGGAUGCCAAUCCCCAAAACCUCUCUCAGUUCGGACUGGAGUCUGCAACCCGACUCCACGAAGCUGGAUUCGCUAGUAAUCGCGCAUCAGCCACGGCGCGGUGAAUACGUUCCCGGGCCUUGUACACACCGCC
This 1382-nucleotide ribosomal RNA is filed under the name uncultured bacterium. Its description in RNAcentral is "bacterial SSU rRNA". It matches the Rfam family "Bacterial small subunit ribosomal RNA", at positions 18 to 1394 of the family's 1533-position model. The record is from RNAcentral.